RNAcentral lists this small RNA (62 nucleotides) under Nostoc sp. PCC 7524. RNAcentral's name for it is "Nitrogen stress-induced RNA 1". It matches the Rfam family "Nitrogen stress-induced RNA 1". The record is from Rfam by way of RNAcentral. Lineage: Bacteria; Bacillati; Cyanobacteriota; Cyanophyceae; Nostocales; Nostocaceae.
UGGUAGAUGCACCCUAAAUAAUUGCCUCCCCUGGUUGGCUGCCACCACUAGGGGCUGUUUUU